This 275-nucleotide ribosomal RNA is filed under the name uncultured bacterium. Its description in RNAcentral is "partial 16S ribosomal RNA". It matches the Rfam family "Bacterial small subunit ribosomal RNA", at positions 338 to 605 of the family's 1533-position model. The record is from RNAcentral.
CCUACGGGUGGCUGCAGUGGGGAAUAUUGGACAAUGGGGGCAACCCUGAUCCAGCGACGCCGCGUGUGUGAAGAAGGCCUGCGGGUUGUAAAGCACUUUUAGUGGGGAGGAAAUGCUCAGUCCUAACACGACUGGGAACUGACUUAACCCACAGAAAAAGCACCGGCUAACUCUGUGCCAGCAGCCGCGGUAAUACAGAGGGUGCAAGCGUUAAUCGGAAUUACUGGGCGUAAAGCGUGCGUAGACGGUUUCGUAAGUCGGGUGUGAAAUCCCCG